UCUGUUGACAUGGUUUUGUUUUGUUUCUAUUAUUGAGGUUUAUUCAAAAAUGAGAGCUGGAAUAUGGUCAUCUUCUUUACAUUUCUUUGUGCUUCAAGCAAUUGGACAAUGAGCAAAGGCUAAAGAACGAGGAACAAAAAGGUGUAGAAACUUCUAAGAAAUGAAAAUGCAGACAGCGUAUGCAACUAAAAUGAAGGACUGCAUUAUCAAAUUCAUGAGUUUUCAAAGAAGGAUUCAUUUAUGUCACCCUACUCAACGUACUAAAACAGUCAUUAAGAGAAAUGAUCGCAAACUGGUCAGAAUGCUUUUUGGAAGGAAAAAAAAUCACCCUCAGAUUGUACAGUUCCAAACAUCCCUUUAAAUCAAUAAGAAACAAAGCUCUAAUAAAGAAUGCUGAAUCAGGCCCCUCACCACCGUACUAAUUAUGCAGAGAGCACCCAGUGAUGUUUACAGUGGACCUUUCCACGACCUGACCAUAACAUUAAACUCGGAGUCUAUUCCAGGAGCAGGCAAGUCUCCAUAAAAAUUUUAUUUUGAAAGGCAAAUGCUUACUCACUGCCUAACACUGAAAGACGUGGUUACUCCUACUUUGCUCUCCCUAAACAUC
Molecule: long non-coding RNA, 607 nt
Filed under: Felis catus (domestic cat)
Lineage: Eukaryota; Metazoa; Chordata; Mammalia; Carnivora; Felidae
Description: lncRNA (ENSFCAG00000042951.2)
Source: RNAcentral